CCUACGGGUGGCUGCAGUGAGGAAUAUUGGUCAAUGGGCGUAAGCCUGAACCAGCCAAGUCGCGUGAGGGAUGAAGGUUCUAUGGAUCGUAAACCUCUUUUGUAAGGGAGUAAAGUGCGGUACGUGUCCUCUUUUGUAUGUACCUUAUGAAUAAGGAUCGGCUAACUCCGUGCCAGCAGCCGCGGUAAUACGGAGGAUCCGAGCGUUAUCCGGAUUUAUUGGGUUUAAAGGGUGCGUAGGCGGCUGUUUAAGUCAGCGGUGAAAGUUUGGGGCUCAACCAUAGAAUUGCCGUUGAAACUGGGGGGCUUGAGUAUGUUUGAGGUAGGCGGAAUGCGUGGUGUAGCGGUGAAAUGCUUAGAGAUCACGCAGAACCCCGAUUGCGAAGGCAGCCUGCCAAGCUAUGACUGACGCUGAUGCACGAAAGCGUGGGGAUCAAACAGGAUUAGAUACCCGAGUAGUC
Molecule: ribosomal RNA, 460 nt
Filed under: uncultured bacterium
Lineage: Bacteria
Description: partial 16S ribosomal RNA
Rfam family: Bacterial small subunit ribosomal RNA
Source: RNAcentral